UAGGGAAUUUUCCGCAAUGGGCGAAAGCUGACGGAGCAACGCCGCGUAAGCAAGACGGCCUUCGGGUUGUAAAGCUCUGUUCUCCGGGAAGAAGAUGAUAGAGCCUGUAACUGUCGCAUCGACGGAAUCA
Molecule: ribosomal RNA, 130 nt
Filed under: uncultured bacterium
Lineage: Bacteria
Description: partial 16S ribosomal RNA
Rfam family: Bacterial small subunit ribosomal RNA
Source: RNAcentral